This 253-nucleotide ribosomal RNA is filed under the name uncultured bacterium. RNAcentral describes it as "partial 16S ribosomal RNA". It matches the Rfam family "Bacterial small subunit ribosomal RNA", at positions 524 to 776 of the family's 1533-position model. The record is from RNAcentral.
GACAGAGGUGCCAAGCGUUAGGCGGAAUCACUGGGCUUAAAGCGUGUGUAGGCGGAAUUGUAAGUACCUUGUGAAAUCCCACGGCUCAACCGUGGAACUGCUCGGUAUACUGCUUUUCUUGAGCCACUUAGGGGCUGUCGGAACAAACGGUGGAGCGGUGAAAUGCGUAGAUAUCGUAAGGAAGACCAGUGGCGAAGGCGAAUCUCUGGACAGUUACUGACACUGAGGCACGAAGGCCAGGGGAGCAAACGGG